CCGGCGCACGGGUGAGUAACGCGUAUCCAACCUGCCCAUGACUUGGGGAUAACCUUGCGAAAGCAAGCCUAAUACCCGAUACGCUUCAUAGAUGGCAUCUGAAAUGAAGUAAAGGUUUACGGUUAUGGAUGGGGAUGCGUCCGAUUAGCUUGUUGGCGGGGUAACGGCCCACCAAGGCAUCGAUCGGUAGGGGUUCUGAGAGGAAGGUCCCCCACAUUGGAACUGAGACACGGUCCAAACUCCUACGGGAGGCAGCAGUGAGGAAUAUUGGUCAAUGGAGGCAACUCUGAACCAGCCAAGUAGCGUGCAGGAUGACGGCCCUAUGGGUUGUAAACUGCUUUUAUGCGGGAAUAAAGUGAGUCUCGUGAGGCUUUUUGCAUGUACCUUAUGAAUAAGGACCGGCUAAUUCCGUGCCAGCAGCCGCGGUAAUACGGAAGGUCCGGGCGUUAUCCGGAUUUAUUGGGUUUAAAGGGAGCGUAGGCCGGAGAUUAAGCGUGUUGUGAAAUGUAGAUGCUCAACAUCUGCACUGCAGCGCGAACUGGUUUCCUUGAGUACGCACAAAGUGGGCGGAAUUCGUGGUGUAGCGGUGAAAUGCUUAGAUAUCACGAAGAACUCCGAUUGCGAAGGCAGCUCACUGGAGCGCAACUGACGCUGAAGCUCGACAGUGCGAGGAUCGAACAGG
RNAcentral lists this ribosomal RNA (682 nucleotides) under uncultured bacterium. RNAcentral's name for it is "bacterial SSU rRNA". It matches the Rfam family "Bacterial small subunit ribosomal RNA", at positions 95 to 776 of the family's 1533-position model. The record is from RNAcentral.